Molecule: ribosomal RNA, 460 nt
Filed under: uncultured bacterium
Lineage: Bacteria
Description: partial 16S ribosomal RNA
Rfam family: Bacterial small subunit ribosomal RNA
Source: RNAcentral
CCUACGGGUGGCAGCAGUGAGGAAUAUUGGUCAAUGGACGAGAGUCUGAACCAGCCAAGUCGCGUGAAGGAUGACUGCCCUAUGGGUUGUAAACUUCUUUUAUAUGGGAAUAAAACGUUCCACGUGUGGGAUUUUGUAUGUACCAUAUGAAUAAGGAUCGGCUAACUCCGUGCCAGCAGCCGCGGCAAUACGGAGGAUCCGAGCGUUAUCCGGAUUUAUUGGGUUUAAAGGGAGCGUAGGUGGAUUGUUAAGUCAGUUGUGAAAGUUUGCGGCUCAACCGUAAAAUUGCAGUUGAAACUGGCAGUCUUGAGUACAGUAGAGGUGGGCGGAAUUCGGGGUGUAGCGGUGAAAUGCUUAGAUAUCACGAAGAACUCCGAUGGCGAAGGCAGUUCACUGGACUGCAACUGACACUGAGGCUCGAAAGUGUGGGUAUCAAACAGGAUUAGAUACCCCAGUAGUC